CCAGCACGCGGGAUCGUGAAUGCCGAGAUGCACUUUGCACACAGGAUCACGCACGAUGAGAUGCACAGAGCGUGCGGGAUCAUGAAUGCCAAGAUGCACACAGUACACAGGAUCACGCACGAUGAGAUGCACAGAGCAUGUGGGAUGAUGAAUGCCAAGAUGCACUUUGUACACAGGAUCACGCACGAUGAGAUGCACAGAGCACGUGGGAUCAUGAAUGCCGAGAUGCACACCCAAACACGUGCUGCACACAGGAUGGUGCACGCUGCACGCGGGGCCACAGAUGAGCCACACGCUGGGAUGGCGCAGGUUCAUGCACGCCAAGCUCUGUGCUGGGUGUGGGAUCGCCCUCCCAGGCACCCCGGGGUGAUCCCAUCACACGUGAAAUCAUGGCCCAGCACACACACGCUGUGCAUGGGGUUGCACACACCGGCACACCUGGUGCAUGAGGAAUUGUGUGAACCACACGUGUGUGAGCCACACACCUGUGGGGUUGCACACACCUGUGGGGUUGCACACACCUGUGGGGUUGCACACACCUGCACACUCCACAGGGGAUGGGGCACACCGAGGUGCACCCUGCAUGUGGCAUUGGACACAGCAAAGUGCAGCUGCACAUGGCCUUGUCACACAAGGAAUUGCUGGCAGGUGGGAUUGCACACCCCAGCCUGCACCCUGAGCACGGAUUGCUCCUGCCAGCACACACGUGGCAUGAGGAGGCACAGGCUGCAGUGGAUUGUCCACUGAUCGAGGCACUCCCAGUGCCAAAUGUGCUCCCCAGCAAAGGCCUUCUCUCGUGCUGCAGAGCCACAGCCACCCCUGUCACUUCAGGGAGCCUCAGGGUGGCUCUGCACAGUGCCUGCCCCAGCCUCCAGCCCGGUUUUGGUGUACACAGCCAGCUCCAGGGGCUGCUCUGCUCCCUGGGACCCCAACCUCACAUCAGUGGGGUGUUCUUCCCCCUCCAUUUCCAGCUGGGAAUGGCUGUACUUAACUCUGUCUGGCAGGAGGGGC
This 1011-nucleotide long non-coding RNA is filed under the name Cyanistes caeruleus (blue tit). RNAcentral's name for it is "lncRNA (ENSCCEG00000001321.1)". The record is from RNAcentral. Lineage: Eukaryota; Metazoa; Chordata; Aves; Passeriformes; Paridae.